GAGCGGUAGCACAGAGAGCUUGCUCUUGGGUGACAAGCGGCGGACGGGUGAGUAACGCGUAGGAAUCUACCUAGUAGUGGGGGACAACAGUUGGAAACGACUGCUAAUACCGCAUACGCCCUAAGGGGGAAAGCGGGGGAUCUUCGGACCUCGUGCUAUUAGAUGAGCCUGCGUGAGAUUAGCUAGUUGGUGAGGUAAAGGCUCACCAAGGCGACGAUCUCUAGCUGGUCUGAGAGGAUGAUCAGCCACACUGGGACUGAGACACGGCCCAGACUCCUACGGGAGGCAGCAGUGGGGAAUAUUGGACAAUGGGCGCAAGCCUGAUCCAGCCAUGCCGCGUGUGUGAAGAAGGCCUUCGGGUUGUAAAGCACUUUCAGAAGGGAGGAAAGGCUGUGUGUUAAUAGCACAUAGCUGUGACGUUACCUUCAGAAGAAGCACCGGCUAACUCCGUGCCAGCAGCCGCGGUAAUACGGAGGGUGCAGGCGUUAAUCGGAAUUACUGGGCGUAAAGCGCGCGUAGGUUGUUUGUUAAGCGAGAUGUGA
This 542-nucleotide ribosomal RNA is filed under the name uncultured Thalassolituus sp. RNAcentral's name for it is "bacterial SSU rRNA". It matches the Rfam family "Bacterial small subunit ribosomal RNA", at positions 64 to 597 of the family's 1533-position model. The record is from RNAcentral. Lineage: Bacteria; Pseudomonadati; Pseudomonadota; Gammaproteobacteria; Oceanospirillales; Oceanospirillaceae.